UUGUACAAAGGUCACACAGAUACUAAAACUGGAAAGAUACAGAGAAGGUGAGCGCAGUUUUGCACGAGGGUGACACAAAUUCAUGAAGUGGUCUGACUUUUU
This is a small nuclear RNA of Bison bison bison, 102 nucleotides long. NCBI's taxonomy places the organism in Eukaryota, Metazoa, Chordata, Mammalia, Artiodactyla, Bovidae. The record is from Ensembl.